RNAcentral lists this non-coding RNA (188 nucleotides) under Bacillota bacterium. RNAcentral's name for it is "6S RNA". It matches the Rfam family "6S / SsrS RNA". From Rfam's summary of the family: E. coli 6S RNA was the first non coding RNA to be sequenced, but its function was unknown until recently. It consists of 184 nucleotides that fold into an extended hairpin structure with a large single-stranded internal bulge. Lineage: Bacteria; Bacillati; Bacillota. The record is from RNAcentral.
GCAGCCCUACAGUGUUCGUGGUGAAGCUGAUAUGUGUUGUGAACCAACACUCAACGCUAGGGAGCCUGGACUCCGGUUGUGGAAGAAAAGCCGCCCCGGGAGCGGACUUCGGAAGCAGUCGGGAGGGCACCCACCUGGAUACCAGGUUCAGCAACGACUCAGCUGUUAACGGCAUUUGUGGGGCUCAC